This 345-nucleotide non-coding RNA is filed under the name Micrococcales bacterium 73-13. Its description in RNAcentral is "bacterial LSU rRNA". It matches the Rfam family "Bacterial large subunit ribosomal RNA", at positions 2585 to 2925 of the family's 2925-position model. The record is from RNAcentral. Lineage: Bacteria; Bacillati; Actinomycetota; Actinomycetes; Micrococcales.
CCAUUAAAGCGGUACGCGAGCUGGGUUUAGAACGUCGUGAGACAGUUCGGUCCCUAUCCUCUGUGCGCGCAGGAAAUUUGAGAGGAUCUGUCCUUAGUACGAGAGGACCGGGACGGACGAACCUCUGGUGUGUCAGUUGUUCCGCCAGGAGCACCGCUGAUUAGCUACGUUCGGCACGGAUAACCGCUGAAAGCAUCUAAGCGGGAAGCCGUCCUCAAGAUGAGAUUUCCACGCCUUCGGGCGAGAGGCCCCCAGCUAGACGACUGGGUUGAUAGGCGGGAUGUGGAAGCGAGGACUAACGACUCGUGCAGCUGACCCGUACUAAUAGGCCGACAGAUUGAUAAC